UGGAUACCAAGGGUACAAAGUUGGAUGAAGCCGAGGUGUGUGGAAGUUGUGCCGUUGCUGCCGGUUGGCCCGGUGGCCAAGGAGGAUUCUGCAAGCUGUAUAGGUCGUUUGAGAACACAUGAGGAACUCCUGCUACAUUGUUCUGCUGACUAUAUUCCAGCUUUAAGAAAGCCUGGGAAGAGAUUAGGACACUGUCGCACACAGUGGGAAGACCACGUGAGGACACAGUGAAAAGAUGGACAUCUAUCUACAAGCCAAGGAGAGAGGCCUCAGAAGAAACCAACUCUACCAACUGCUAGCCGUCAGAAUGAGUAAAGGGAAAGAACCACGUUACCUGUCAACGCUGAGAGCGCAGAGAUUGAGGACGGUGAUCCCCACUGAGGACUUCUGCAAAAAGGGGAACAACUUGCAGAGAAAUACGCCAAAGUCAUUGUGAUCAAAAGGCCAGCGCCCAGCCAGCAGCUGAAAAAAGGAAAGAGCAUGGUUCCUCCUGCCUCCCUACCAGCCCAAGAAUUUGGAAAGCAUGACAUCCUUAGAGCAGAGCAGACACUCCACAGAUGUUCUCGACUCCGGGUGCCCUCCGUGACCUGGGGGGAUGGAGAAGCACUCCUUUUAAUGAAAGCAAGUGGCUUGGUGUAGUAAAGAGCGUGGGCCCUGAAGCUCGACUUCCUGGGUUGGACUGAAUCCCAGCUCUGCUAUGUUUCACACCGUGUGACCUUGGCAUGUUGGUUAACCUCGCUGCUUCUCAGUUUCCUCCUCUAGAAAAUGGAAAUGGUGAUGGCAGCUACCUCACAGGGUUACUGUGCGUGACAGAAGAGACAAUCCAUAGAAAGCAGUUAGCAGAAGGAGAAGCUAAAAUAUACGGAAAAUUUGCCCAGUGAGCUAUAAGCACCAUACUGUAAACCCGGACUAUAAGUAAAAUGCAGGAGAAAACAGUAGGUGGUGUUGGAUGGAUGUCCAUCCGAAUGUGAGAUCACGUCAAGACACACUUCCAGCCAAGAUUGUGCUUCCUUGUGGGAACUGUGAGGAAACAGGAACCAAGGUGUGAUUGCAUUUCAAAUAUCACCGUCUGAUCACUCAGCUUACAAGCUUGGAAACUUGGUUAUCUUUUUAUUGAGAGGCUUUCCAGAAAAAUGGCUUCCUUAACUUGGAAGAGACUGAUUAAAGGUAAGAGAGUACAGUUUUUAUAAAGAC
Long non-coding RNA from Orcinus orca (killer whale), 1194 nucleotides. RefSeq lists it as uncharacterized. The record is from RefSeq and is a predicted model, not a curated record. The transcript has 7 exons. NCBI's taxonomy places the organism in Eukaryota, Metazoa, Chordata, Mammalia, Artiodactyla, Delphinidae.